RNAcentral lists this signal recognition particle RNA (298 nucleotides) under Callithrix jacchus (white-tufted-ear marmoset). RNAcentral describes it as "Metazoan signal recognition particle RNA (ENSCJAG00000081622.1)". It matches the Rfam family "Metazoan signal recognition particle RNA". Rfam says of the family: The signal recognition particle (SRP) is a universally conserved ribonucleoprotein. The record is from Rfam by way of RNAcentral. Lineage: Eukaryota; Metazoa; Chordata; Mammalia; Primates; Cebidae.
GCCGGGCGCGAUGGUGCGUGCCUGCAGUCCCAGCUACUCCGGAGGCUGAGGUGGGAGGAUCGCUUUAGCCCAGGAAUUCUGGGUUGUAGUGCGCUAUGCGUAUCGGGUGUCCGCACUAAGUUCGGCAUCAAUAUGGUGACCUCCUGGGAGCAGGGGACCACCAGGUUUCCUAAGGAGGGGUGAGCCGGCCCAGAUCGGAAACAGCAAGUCAAAACUCCGGUGUUGAUCGGUAGUAGGAUGGUGCCUGUGAAUAUCCACUGCACUCCAGCCUGGGCAACAUAGCGAGACCUGGUCUCUA